Molecule: ribosomal RNA, 497 nt
Filed under: uncultured bacterium
Lineage: Bacteria
Description: partial 16S ribosomal RNA
Rfam family: Bacterial small subunit ribosomal RNA
Source: RNAcentral
GAUGAACGCUGGCGGCGUGCCUAAUACAUGCAAGUCGAGCGAACGGACGAGAAGCUUGCUUCUCUGAUGUUAGCGGCGGACGGGUGAGUAACACGUGGAUAACCUACCUAUAAGACUGGGAUAACUUCGGGAAACCGGAGCUAAUACCGGAUGAUAUUUUGAACCGCAUGGUUCAAAAGUGAAAGACGGUCUUGCUGUCACUUAUAGAUGGAUCCGCGCUGCAUUAGCUAGUUGGUAAGGUAGCGGCUUACCAAGGCAACGAUGCAUAGCCGACCUGAGAGGAUGAUCGGCCACACUGGAACUGAGACACGGUCCAGACUCCUACGGGAGGCAGCAGUAGGGAAUCUUCCGCAAUGGGCGAAAGCCUGCCGGAGCAACGCCGCGUGAGUGAUGAAGGUCUUCGGAUCGUAAAACUCUGUUAUUAGGGAAGAACAUAUGUGUAAGUAACUGUGCACAUCUUGACGGUACCUAAUCAGAAAGCCACGGCUAACUACGUG